AUAGCUACCCGCGAGGAGGCUGCGUCCUGAGUGGCUGUGGCAGUACCUGCGCCAGGGGAACCUUCUGAUGGGGCAGGCGGCAGCACCCAGCGCGGUUGAGCCGAACCUGCCAUUCACGAUGCUGCCGGCAGAAGCUGGCUCUUGGAACUCCACAAGAACCUGAGAACGCUCUUCCCAUCCAAGCAGAUUACGAUGCCUAUGAUGCUCAAGCACAUCUCAAACUCCUAGACUCGAGUUAUCGUCCUGCCUCAGCCUCCACAGUAGUGGGGUCUUCAGAGUCUUGCUGAGUUGCCAAAGCUGGCCUGGAACUUGAGAUGCUCCUGCCUCAGCCUCCUGAAUAGCUGGCAGUACAGAUGUGUACACUGCACCAGGUAUGAAUCCUAAGAUUCAGAAUAUGUCGUAGAAGACAGUUUUUCUACCUCUUCAGAUCCAAGCCUUAUGUCCCAUAACUGUCCUGAGGAGGAGGACCAGUAUUGGUGGAGUAUGGGCAGAACUUUCCACAAAGUGACACUGAAGGACAAGAGGAUCACAGUGAUGCAAUACCUUCCCACAAAGGAACCACCACAGAAGGCUUCCAGAUGACCAGGCUCAUUUCUACACACUCUCUUGUGUCUGUAAGCCACACACUACCGAAGAAGAAAGGAACCUCAACUCUGUCUGCUUGGCGGGAGAUGGAGGCAAGUCGAGACUGCCUGGUUUGAGAGGAACCUGUUCACUGGAACAGAGGGUUUACAGUGCUUCACUCCUGUGACCAGGACAAAACAAAAUUUCCAUCUAUUAGGAGCUGCUGAGAAGAUGGAGGCCAGCCAUUCCCUGGUGCCUAGGAAAGCAGCAACUUUCCUAGCCAGCUGAGAGCAUCAGCAUUGCCAUGAGUCCCAUCUACAGGGACAGCCCAUGAAAGAACACGGCAAAAACCAAGAUCCCCAGGUUGUUCUUCCUCAGUUUUCAAGAAAGGAUUUCAAUUAAGGAUCGGAUUUGUACAAGAUAAAUAUUCUGCCUCUGCUUUUAGCUUCCCUGCUGAGAACAAGCCUCAAGACAUCCAUGUUACAGGAAAGAGCUAUGGGCAAAAAGUUAAUCAGGUGGGACCCUGUGGCAGGUGCAUGAGUCCUGGGGUAUCUGAGCCUCUUCACAGAGAUCUCUUCCCCUACACCAAGCCUGUGGUGGCAGAAGCACCUCGGCCAUCUCCGGGUGCCUCCCUGGCAGCCACACAGAUCCUGCCCUUUCCUUUCAGGAACAAUGUUUCUACAGGUGCCCUACUCCAAGUUUAAGUUCCCUGGUUCAGCCACAGUAGUGGAACUUCACCAUCUGCACCAACCAGAGCAUGCUCUGUGAGGACAGGUCAGUUACAACUGGGCCUACAUAACCAUGCUCACCAAGACGAAGUGUUUUUGCUCCAGGGGACCAAGAAGUUUGCUGAUAAACUGCUGGAUGAGUUCACAGACUUCUGCACCAACUGCAAUAACUGGCUGGUUAUGUUAUGAAUAAGUUGCCUGAACAAAACAAGAUACACAUCAGUGCCCCAUGAAUCCAGGCCACACAGGACUUAGAAGAUAUGCUGGGGCAGAGGAGUCCUGUCAGGCGCUGAGCAUCAGGUUAUCAGUUUGCUUCUGCUAGUUAGUGGGAGCCCUAGCUUCUUUUUGGCCCUCCCACAAGUAUUCUAUUCUACUCAGGAGAAAAAGCUGGGAAGCAGCUGCUGCUGCUACCUCCACCCAGAUCCUCUCAGCAAGUGCCCAGAGCAGGUGGGAGGCACAGAUUUUCUGUGGGAGGGCUUCAGUGUCUGGGAAAGGGGGCACGCAGCCCCCAUGAAUGUCUUUGGAGAAGGAAUGGCUCCUGAGAGCAUCCUUUUCCUCCACUGUCUAUGGAGUAAUCAGAGCAGAAUCUGCUGCUUCCCAUCCAGGAGUGUGUAUAGUGUGUAAGAGAAUUAAGUAAAAUAAUGGUCAUAGACUCACACCAACUGUAUAUACCUGUACCUGUCAGAAGCUAAUGAAGCUCCACUUAUAGCAUCUCUUUCCCCAAACUCAUUCCUAACCACAGCAGUCCAACCCUGGACUGGGCAUCAUUCCAGGUCAGUGCAGUAACUGCAGAAGGUGAAGACUUCAGAAGGCACUGACUUGUAGAGUGACUGUGAGUUGACUAAGAGAUUUGUUUUCACAGGCCCUGGUGCAGGAAUGAGGCUACCUCCAGUCAGGACUAGUGAACAGAGUACAACACACUAGGUUACUUAACCAUAGACUUGUUCUGUCAGAGGUGGAUCUUGCUGAAUGGGUGAGCCCAGCUCUGUAAUGCAGACACUAAUGUAUUCCUCUUUUUGAUGGGUAUAUCUUUCCACUCACUUAUGUAAGUCAGAAUCUGGAGUCUAACUCAGUGCCUUCCUCCUCCAUCAUCAUCCAGUUCUCCCACCUACCCAUCCAAAUUGUACCUCAUACCUUGCCACCUCCCUCUAUGCCUUCUGCCCAGGUGUAGAGCUCAGCCUCGGGGAAUAGAUGAUUUGGUUAAACAUUGAUAUGAUUUGAAUGUAUUCCCCCCCCCCCCAAAUUUUAUGUGUUGGAAACUUAAUCCCUAAACUCAUGUUUGUAGGAUUUGGGAGGUAGGACCUUUGGGAAGUGAUAAGGAUUAGAUGAGAUUAUGAGGGUGAGGCCCCCUUGAUGGCAUUGGUGACUUUGUAGGAUAUGGAAGUGAGACUCUGGAUAGCACGCUUGCUCUGUCUUGCUAUGUGAUGAUGCUCUUUAUCCUGUUGUAAUACAGCAAGAAUGCCCUCACAAGAUGCCAGUGCCAUGUUCUUGGACAUCUCAGCCUCCAGAAUCAGAAGCCAAAUAAACUUCUAUUCUUUGUAUAUUACCUGGUAUCAGGUAUUUUGUUACAGCCACAGAACACAAACUAAGUCAGAUAUGGGUCAGGUGCAGUGGUGCAUCCCUGUAAUCCUAGCAGCUCAGGAGGCUGAGGCAGGAGGUUUGCAAGGUCAAAGCCAUCCUCAGCAACUUAGCAAGCU
This is a long non-coding RNA of Sciurus carolinensis (gray squirrel), 2989 nucleotides long. RefSeq lists it as uncharacterized. The record is from RefSeq and is a predicted model, not a curated record. The transcript has 10 exons. Lineage: Eukaryota; Metazoa; Chordata; Mammalia; Rodentia; Sciuridae.